AAUGGGGUGACCGUUCAAUGCUUGCAACCAUAGCUCUUGGGCAGGUCAGUGUUUUCAAAGAGCUCUGCGGUCAACUGUCUUCUAUUAGGUGCAGAUGUUAACCGUCAAGCUGUUGAAGUUCAGCUAUGUUUAUUACCGGAUUUUGUAAUGGAUGUAUAGGUUUGUUUAAUUAGGUUUUGUGUUUAUGAUCAUUAACCUAAAUGGAUUCUCAAUCGUUCUAAAAAUUGAAGAUGCACCAGACGCUCUGUACCGUUGCCGAGAUCUCGACAGGUAUAUGUUUCGUAUUUGGCCGACUAAUAAAAAUGUUCAGGGUAA
Long non-coding RNA from Helianthus annuus (common sunflower), 315 nucleotides. RefSeq lists it as uncharacterized. The transcript has 3 exons. The record is from RefSeq and is a predicted model, not a curated record. Lineage: Eukaryota; Viridiplantae; Streptophyta; Magnoliopsida; Asterales; Asteraceae.